Molecule: ribosomal RNA, 410 nt
Filed under: uncultured bacterium
Lineage: Bacteria
Description: bacterial SSU rRNA
Rfam family: Bacterial small subunit ribosomal RNA
Source: RNAcentral
CAGCCGCCGCGGUAAUACAGAGGUCCCAAGCGUUGUUCGGAUUCACUGGGCGUAAAGGGUGCGUAGGCGGUUUGAUAAGUCUGAUGUGAAAUCCCGCAGCUUAACUGCGGAACUGCAUUGGAAACUAUUUGACUAGAGGAAUGGAGGGGAGACUGGAAUACUUGGUGUAGCAGUGAAAUGCGUAGAUAUCAAGUGGAACACCAGUGGCGAAGGCGAGUCUCUGGACAUUUCCUGACGCUGAGGCACGAAAGCCAGGGGAGCAAACGGGAUUAGAUACCCCGGUAGUCCUGGCCCUAAACGGUGCGCGUUUGCUGUGAGCGGAAUCGACCCCUUUUGUGGCGAAGCUAACGCGAUAAACGUGCCGCCUGGGAAGUACGGUCGCAAGANNUAAAACUCAAAGGAAUUGACGG